UUGUAAAUAGUUGAUUUGUGGUGUUGACAUUUCAAAUAUUUUAUGAUAAAAUAGAAUACAAGUGUUGUGUUGUUUUUUCCUCUUCUUGUAUAUAAAGCUGAUGGUGAGACAGGGACUCUGUCAGUCGAGUGGACUAGUCAGGGGGAGUUUAAAAGGCAGCACAUGUUACUUGGAUGUAUGCUGAAGACGGGUUAUUUUGGAUACCAGUUUGAAACGCAGAAACAGAGUUGAGCUGUUAACCCAUCUUUCAGGAGGAUCGAAUAUGCGUGGUUGUCAAGGAAAUGAGCUAGACUUCCUGUUCCUGUGGGUCCUGUGGAACUUUGCAAUUGUGGAUUUUCUAUAUUCUUAAUUUCCUCAACCAGAGAUGGUUUCUCUAUCAGCUGCGUGGGAUUAGCGGCUUUGCAUCUAUUCUGAACGUUGCUUCAUCUUACCAUGGCUUUAAUAUCGCCAUUACAAACCGCUAGAGGACAUGUGGUGCUAGGAGUUAGUGGGGUGUGUGGUGCCACCCACUUUACAACCACCAUGGGAACACACUUCUACCAUUUUACUCUACGCUUAAACAUGCUUCCUUCUUCGCUUUUCUAUUAUGGUUCACUUUGCUUUCGUAAUGUUUUCAGUGCUCACAUAUACUUAUUUUCUGUGCUUGCUUUUAACAUUAAUGUACUUCCCUGCAGUUUACAAUGCAUUCACUGUGCUUUUCCCAGACUCACUGGGCUCUGCCUGUUUUUUUUUACCUCUAAAAGUGCAUUUAAUAAUAUGAUAUUAGCAAUUCGAUUUGUUUUUGGAAUUAUAAGGAACGGAGAACACAGUAUCUUUGAACACAUGGGUUACUUAAUCACUUUUGCCACAUACUGCAUUCUUUUGAGGUUUCAGCAACCAAUAGUUGAAAUACACUUCAAAAUGACUAACAGGGCAAAGGCUGGACCCAAACCCACAUCCACAGACUUCCCAAGCAAGUGUUAUCGAUUCAUCCACUGAAGAAGGGACUGGGACAUCUACUGCUCCAGGUGUAUCAGCACAAACUGAACACAUAUGCAAUGCUUCUGUGCAUAAACCCAUCACUCUUUCUCGAGAUGUAUCUUCCCUUUGAGGACAAAAAACUAAAACAAAUGUAGGACUCUCCCAAAUACAUUUCUGUUUCCUAACCUAAUCUUAUGAAUUGUUAAUAAACAAUUCUCUAAACCUAAGAUUAUAAAAUAUUAAUAUUUCGUUUUUUUGUCAGCUAGGAUGUUAAUCAAUGAAACCUUAUUCAAACUGACAUAAAAUCAUAAUCUUAAACUUAUUUUUUCCUAGACAAGGAAUUGAAAAUGCUAAAUAAACUUCUUGCAGCUUUUUAAAUACAAAAUAGUGCAUUCCUAACCCAGACGUUAACCCUGUUCUAUCUAUUUUACAGCUUACAGAUAUGAGUCUGACCAUCAUUGAGUUCAUGUUCAUAUACUCCCAGACUCAAUAGCCUUUUACAGGACGAGUCCAUAACCCACAGAUCAACCACUGCACUAUUAAAUACUGCUUAGAUACUACGUUAGUGCCAAUUACUCGCAGACGUACACAAGUAGUACAAUUAUAAAGGCAUGGAAGUACCUAGUACAGAGUUAAUUGACUUUCUAACACUUAGUUAUUAUUUACUUGGAGUGGCCACUUGUGUACUAGUUAACUAUUGCUGAAAAAUAAUUGACUACUUUCAGAUUUAGACAACAGGCUGAAUUUAGGAUUAAGUAUUUGGUAACUUAGUACUUCAAAAUGUCUAGUAAAUGUAAGCUAUCCAGUUUCUUGUAUGAUACAGUAGUGUCAGCCACAGAAAUGGGUCCAUAUUCCAAAGGACAUCCAUUCGCCCUUGUGUCUGUGUCCCAUGAGUGCUGUAUUUACACAUAACAUUGCUCACCCCCCUGUGGCAGUGGUACUGUACAUGAGGGCAGGCAGGUGGAGGAGUGAGGGGGCAGUUUACUAAACACAGCAGCACAAGCCAAUAUGGUUUUGAGGAAAACUAUGGCCCGGCUAUCUGUUGUUAACAGUGUGUCGGUAAACACAGCAUCAUUAGGAGUGUGUUUUGGGUUGAGAGGAUGACCUUUACAUGGAAUGCUUUCCUUUCAUCCAGAUUUGUUGUGUACUUUAGAGUAUGUACUGUCAAAACACAGCAGAAAACAGUACGAUGGGCCAGAUUUAACAAGAUCUUUACAUCAAAAGGGAAAAUAAAGUUUGGCCAAUAUUCUAUUACUAAAAUAGAAUUUUAGUAAUAGAAUAUUAGUCCUACACUAUAGGAAUCCUGAAAGAUUUUGUAUACCUGUUUCAGAAAGAGAUACUCAGCAUAACGUAGGUAGGGCAGCAGUGUGGAGUAGUAGUUAGGGCUCUGGACUCUUGACCGGAGGGUUGUGGGUCUAAUCCCAGGUGGAGGACACUGCUGCUGUACCCUUGAGCAAGGUACUUUACCUAGAUUGCUCCAGUAAAAACCCAACUGAAUAAAUGGGUAAUUGUAUGUAAAAAUAAUGUGUAAAAAAUAAUGUAAUUGUAUGUAAAAAUAAUGCAAUAUCUUGUAACAAUUGUAAGUCGCCCUGGAUAUGGGUGUCUGCUAAGAAAUAAAUAAUAAUAAUAAUAACUUGCCAGGGUUAGAAAAUAUGGACCAGAGUCAAAUAUCUGUCAAUACAGAACUCCACCAGAGGGGGCAGUAGAGACAGUGAAGUAUGGCCUCUGCAGGUGUUAAGUGUGGACAGUGUCAGACCUUGAAGGCCCCAACGUUUGGCAUCACUUCAAAUCUAGGGUGGUUCCUCAAUAUUUAUAUUACCUUCUUUUGUGAACAUACAGUGCAGUUUAUAUUUUUAGUUUAAACAGCUCUAAGGUGUAUAGUGCAGUGUUUGUUGAAGAGAUAGCACUGGAAGGCUAGUGUGUCAUCAUAAUCCACAGUUUUGAUGGAUUAUUAUACAAUACUACAGGCCAAAAAUGCCAUCCUAAUUAUACAGUUUGUCAAAAUAGUAAAUGGGAAAAUUUGCAUUUCAUUUCCCAUAUGGUAAUCAUUUACUGUGCUGAUUAUCCUUGUGCCAUACCUUACCGUAACUUAACCAGACGUCUCUGUGAUUCAGUGGUUACAUGUUCUCAUACUUUUACUUUUGCUGUACCUUUCCAUGAUUUUAUCACAGAAUACUGUCGUAAAGUUUGUAAAUGGAAAGUUUUUGGCCAAGAGGUUGUUAUGCAAGUCUAUCCAAGUGGAAAAUCACUUACAUUUUUUAUUGUGUUUACAGCAUAACACUGGCCAUUUACUUUUUGAUUUAUUGUACAGGGAUUUUUACAGAGGGAGGAAACUAUUAUUGUGUUCUAGAGAUGAGUAAAGUAUUAUUUGUUACCAUACAUCAUCUCUUCUUAAAAGAUGGGACUGGGCAACCAAACAGGUUUUUUGCGUCCCUACAUCAGUGCAGUGCAGUCAUUUUCAGAGUCGUGGCAUGGGUAAAACGCCCUGGCGCUGUUAUGUGUUUUGGGUUGGUUUGGAUUGUUGCACAGCCUGCUGGCAGGAAAGCAGGCGGCAUGUCACUGUGUUUACUGUGUCAACAGCAGCGUGCUGCUUGGGCCAACAACACCGCCUUGUUCCUGAGCACCCAGCCCUGUGAGGAGAGAGAAGCGGCUUAGGCCUGCACAAACAGAACCCCGAGACAGACCACGACUGUGGUACAGAGAGACAGGCAGACGGACAGCUGGGCCUCUCACUGACAUUGUGACGCCACCCAAGAGUCACUCUGCUAUCCGAGCCACCAGAGGAAUACUUGGAACCCCAACCUAUAGAGCAGCUCUUUAACCCCCCAAAACACAUUUCUGUUCCUCCAGUAUGUUCCAGUUCCACCUAACGAGCUACAUUAUUAAUUCAUUAUCUAACUAGAACAAUGGAAUCUGAGGAGUGGAGUUUGCCAGCCAUGUUCUUCAAUGGCCAAUCCUCACUUGAUUAUUCGUGCAAUGCAAUCAUAGCUUACUGUAGUUUGCCCUGUUAUUUUACGAUGCUUUCCCAGAACUUUGCUUUAUGUCACGCUUGUCUUUGCGUUCUCCUAUGCUUUAGUGCUCUUUGGGUGCAUUCCUUCUUCUUUUUCUGAAAGAGUGAGUGUGCUUUAUCACGCCAUUGUCCUCUCCUGAGGAUGCUUGUGCCUUAAUUUGCUCUAACAGCUUUUAGUCUUACUUACAGUGUGCUUUAGAAAAAUACAACUUUGCAUUGGAGAAAAACUUAGCAAAUCUGCAACUUAAGCUUGCAUAAGUGAUCACAUUGUACUCAUUUUGUUCCAUUAUGCUAAACAGCAGUCAAAAGAAAUGUGCUUUUUUCUUCUUUAUAAGCUUGUUAAUACAACUAGAAUAAAAAGCAUUUAAUGAUAGGAAAUUAGUGACAGCUAUUUACUGCAAUUCCUCAUUAGCCCCAUUUUUGCACAAUGGAAAAAAACAUGAAUUAAACGUCUAAAAUGAAUAAGAAACAACUUAAUACUUAAUGCGAGCCCCUGAAUUCAAAGCCUUAGUUGUUUAUUCCUGUUUUGGUAACUUCAUUGGGUGUGUUUCUUCUUUUCUGUAAAGAAUUGAGCUAAUGACAAAUUAGAUUAAAUAGCUCUGAGAAUGUAGCCCCCUGUGUCUUAUUCACUACUAUUUAGUCAGCUUUUUAAUAAACAAAACCUUUUUUUUCUUUUGUUUUUAUGGCUCUUUUAUGCACCUGGCACUAUGGAAAAAACAAACUGGAGCUGGUCUCCAUGCUGAUCCGGUCUCCGUGCUGAACCGGUCUCCUCUCAAGCAGAGCAGGGCUUUGCUGCCCUGGUGUGGGACGUGUACCUGGCCCCGAGUGGUUCGCAGUACCAGCACGGUUAGUGCAUCCCUUGUGGAGUAGUUCCUGGAGUGCAUUGUGGUGUUUCUUAGUGGCAUGAAAAGUAUCUCUGCCGAGAGCAGCUUCUGCACCCAGCCAGUCUGAGAGUGCUGAUACCCUUGUGUAAGCAUUUUCUUUCGCUCUUCUGCAGGUGUGUGGAACAAUGCCACAGCUUUUUCGGCAGGUGUACCUGUUGAUAUAUUGUUUUAAUUACAACAUUGUGCAAUAAUUACACCCCUCCCCAGGCUACAAACACAGAUCCGUAAAUCUCAUCUACUGUAUAGAAAUAAGUGAUGGGCAUUUGGCAUUUGCUUCUGUAUUUAAUCUAUAAACAAUAGCAAGAGACAAAAAAAAAACAAAAAAAACAUUUAAAUGUCCAGCAAAUUUCCUCAUGACCUUCUUCAGGAAAUAUUUUUUAAAGGGGGUGCCUAUUUCACAAAAGUUAAAUUACAGCUGGGUUAAUGCAUGCCGAAAUACCAUACCAUAAUUAUUUGUUUAUUUUAGCAGACGCCUUUAUCCAAGGCAACUUACAGAGACUAGGGUGUGUGAACUAUGCAUCAGGUGCAGAGUCACUUACAACUAUGUCUCACCCAAAAGACGGAGCACAAGGAGGUUAAGUGACUUGCUCAGGGUCACACAAUGAGUCAGUGAUUGAGAUGGGAUUUGAACCGGGGACCUCCUGGUUACAAGCCUGUUUCUUUAACCACUGAACCACACAGCCUCCUAUGAUGAAUGGAAAUCAAAUAAAAUAUGUUUUGUGAUGCAAGAGGGUUUUGCAUCACCUGGAAUUCUAGGAUUGAGACAUGAUUUAAAACACAACAACUAUAUGAAUUUAGAUAUUUUACUUAACAUCAUGUAAUCAAAGAAACUACAAAAUGAUAUUGCAAAAGUCUACCGGAAGCCAUAAUAGUAGUACAGUAUUUCGUUAGAUUUCGAAAUGUCACAUUUUUCAAUUUUUGUCAGUUUUUGGAAAACAACAAAGCGCUAUGCAAUUCAGUCUGUUAACGUAACAUUAUUCAGCAGGUUGCAUUUGACUUAAUGAAGCAAAAUGUGUUAAUUCUAUAGGGUGAUGCAAAAUGUUUAGCCAUAGCUGUAGUCUAUCAGUUAAAUUGUAACACGAAAUAACAAGCAGAUUAAAGAAUGGAAUCAUGGAAAAGUGUGAAAUUCAAUUGAUCUCGUUGAAAUCGUGCUGUACCCUUGAGCAAGGUACUUUACCUAGAUUGCUCCAGUAAAAACCCAACUGAAUAAAUGGGUAAUUGUAUGUAAAAAUAAUGUGUAAAAAAUAAUGUAAUUGUAUGUAAAAAUAAUGCAAUAUCUUGUAACAAUUGAAAUCGUCCUAAAUAUUUGCUGGUGGCAGGUGGAUGUGUUAUCAGCGGUGUAGCACUGAGCCCCCUGAUAAGAUCUUUGCCUUUGGGCUCUCAAUUUCAAAUCACUGACAUGCAGUUCCUGUAAGUGCCUGCCUGGCACACAGUUUGAGUUGAAUUGGAAAGAUUAAAAAAAAAAAACUGCCGUAAAGUAUUGUAGUUUAUUCCAGAUUGAGCUGGAAAUGACAGGCAGCAGCUUAUUAAAACAUGCUCCUUUUUAUUAUGGGUUACAUCGUGACAAUAUCCAGCUGUGACCGUCUCUCGUGUGUUUGCAAAAUAAGCCAUAGCAAGCCAUUCGAGCUAGUAAAGGUGGUUACCCAAAGUCUCUUAAUCUGAGGAGCUUCCUUUUGGUCUGGCUCCAGUGAGGUGCCAGUCUACCUCAAGCAGUGUAUAGUAGUAUCCCAGUAAAAAAAUUGAAAACAACUUUGCCUGUGGAACUUGCUUGAGUGGUCUGAUGUAUGCAAAUACUGGACAGCAAAUAUGUGUAAUUCUUACACUAAUGGCAGUUAACCAUCUAAAUCACAAUUACAAGGUGAAUACUGUGUUUCCAAAGAGAUAUAAGCCCUGACAUGUGCUUGACUCGGCAGGUCUGCCUUACAAAACCAAACAUAAAGGGACCAACCCCCCCACCACCCCCACCCGCCGAAGGCUUGAAACAACAAACAAACAAACUUAUGAAUUAAUACAUGCUGAUUAACCUAUUAAGGACCAGUCUUGAAGUCUUUUUUGUCGGUGUCAUGCAAUUUUUUUUUAUAAAGGUUGAAAAGAAAACCUGCUACAAAAGUGACAUUUACUUCCAUAAUGACACUUUGGGUGAUGUUAUGUGUAUUUAUGGAACGUCUCUAGAAGUAAACUCAGAAGAAAGCACCUUAAUGGAGACUAUUUUAACCCUUUCAGUCCUGACGGGACCUCAAGAUCUCACCUUAUCUUAGCACCGAGUUCUUAAAAAAAACAUUUUGUCCUGUUCCUGUAUAAAGGAGUUUCUUUUUUGAAUUAUAUAAAUUCAUUUUGCAUUCUUCAGCUUGACAAAAAAGCAACUGAGGACUGAAAGAGCAACACAAAUAAAAAGCACAGUAUUCGAGUGACUGUGAUAAGAAAUGCUCAGAGUGGCUGCAAACAGCAUAAAACAUGUAAGAAAAUUACAUUUCAAGCUACUUGCUUUUUAAGGAUUUAAACCACUUUCCUUACUAAAUGAUAACCCCAGAAAUGACAUUUAAAAGGAUGUUUGCAAGAACAUGAAUAUACUUGACUUUAAAUGUUUUAAAUGGAAAAAUCCUGCAGUAGUUCAUACAGAAAUGUACAAACUAAUUCAUAAAGCACAAACAAAAUUAAGCAGCUGCUUAGCUGCUACCGGUUUGAUAAAAAAAAUAAAUAAAAAUUUUAAAAAGCGUUAGUAAGUUACUACAUUUGUUUUGCAAUUCAACCCACACUAGCUUUUAAUUCAGCCCCUUAAGCGUGACAGCUAGGUUUUGAUGUGUAUUUGUUUUUACUGGACAUAUUCAAAGGUGUUCACUGUUGGCCUACACCAGUCAUGCCAGAAUAGGCCAAAACAUAAACAUUCCAUUUUUUUGGAAGCCAUGUUUCUAUGUUUCAUCAGCUUCAGUUCUUUUUAAAUGUGCAUUGCUGUUCUGCUGUGGACAAAAUAAAACAGGGGGCCUGUCAGAGUUACACCUGUCGUCUCACAGUGUUAGAUUCCAUCAAAUCUAACACAUGUUUAUACCUCUAUUGCAUAUUUGACAUUAGAGUGUAAACAUUUUACACUUCACUAACUUUUAAUACUCUAUUCAAACUACCUCAAUAAUGUGCAACCAUCACUUUUUAAAAAUGUGCCUGUUAGAGAUGUGUAGCAGGGUGUGACGGGGUACACCUCAGCCCUGUGUUUAUUUAUAUUAUUUUGUAUUAUUAUUAUUUACUGUUGUUAUUAUUUAAAUAUAUUGGGGGGAGAGAGAGAGAGAGAGAGAGAGAGAGAGAGAGAGAGAGAGAGAGAGAGAGAGAGAGAGAGAGAGAGAGAGAGAGAGAGAACAAAAUAACUGAAAAACACUCAUGCUGGAUUAAAAUCAGCAUGAUACUUAUUUUACUUAUUGUCUGUUUAUUUUGGCCACUGUGCCGUUUUAUUUUGUAGAAGUCCUUUGUUCGUUUGUUUUAUUAUUUGAUAAAUACUAGUGCAUGUGCGUCUCAACCGGCAGUACUUGUGCCUGACUUCUUGGUCUGACAUCACCACCCAGCCAUCCUGUUCACACAGGGUCUAUAAUGCCUGCUUUUCUCUGGUCUACUACAGCACUCUUCCUGAUUGAAGCUCUGCAUUUUGCUUUUUUUUUUUUAAAGAGAAAUGGUCAAUUCGAAUUAAUUCUGAUGUCUUCUUGCUUUUCAAUAAUAAUGAAUUAUAAUAGUUAUAAUAGUUUUUUUUCAAUGCACAUAAUGCAUUCGUGUUUAUAAUAAUACGCAUGCACGUUUUCAAUUGUAGGCUUUUGUGAAGAGUCCACAAUGUUGUAUGUAUUGCUUCUUGCUUCUGAAUAAUGAAGUCUUCUCAAUGCCAUUUAUUAAAGCCGGUUAACCCCUGAUAUGUAUUUCCACAGAGUGAAACCGCGUUGUGCUGUAUGAGACAUCAAAAUACAGUAUCACUAUCAUAAAAUUCCAGACAAUAACAAAAUAUACAAUUCACUUUCAAUAUAUGGUUCAUAAAUAAAAGGAAUACAUAAUUCAAAAUACCUUACUAGAUAAAAACCUGAGAAAAUAGUGAAAAGAAGAGAGAAAUGAUUACAAAAAAAGCUGAGAUUAACUUUAAUUGUAAAAGUUAGUUACAGAAACUAAAGCAAGUUUCCUGCAGUAUCACUAAACUGUGUCCUUCAUUGGCCUUGACCCUUGCCCACCAGCACACAGAACAGCCCUGCUACUCCCAGCCCACAUCGCUUGACUAUCUGAAUGAUCUCACACAGAAUGACAAUGGGCGGGAAGCCAUCGUGCUCACUUUGCUGAAGCGAUAAGUGGAUUUCACACACCAGUCAGGAGUUUAGCCCGUUCACAAGAGGGGUGGAUGACGGAUUCUAACAGGAGAGUGGGCAGCUCAAAUAAAUAGAAAUAUAUUAUGAAAUCAACAGACCAGUUUUCAGACUCAAAUAUGAAAAUUAGAAGGAAAUAAAAAAAAACAGACAUUUUGAUGUACAAAUUUCUUUUGAAGUUCUGUCACAUCGUAAUAGAUACUUGACAAUAGAUAUACAA
This is a long non-coding RNA of Acipenser ruthenus (sterlet), 9399 nucleotides long. RefSeq lists it as uncharacterized. The transcript is spliced from 2 exons. NCBI's taxonomy places the organism in Eukaryota, Metazoa, Chordata, Actinopteri, Acipenseriformes, Acipenseridae. The record is from RefSeq and is a predicted model, not a curated record.